CGGAUGUAGCUCAGUUGGUAGAGCAUCACCUUGCCAAGGUGAGGGUCGCGGGUUCGAAUCCCGUCAUCCG
Molecule: transfer RNA, 70 nt
Filed under: Flaviflexus massiliensis
Lineage: Bacteria; Bacillati; Actinomycetota; Actinomycetes; Actinomycetales; Actinomycetaceae
Rfam family: tRNA
About the family: Transfer RNA (tRNA) molecules are approximately 80 nucleotides in length. Their secondary structure includes four short double-helical elements and three loops (D, anti-codon, and T loops). Further hydrogen bonds mediate the characteristic L-shaped molecular structure. tRNAs have two regions of fundamental functional importance: the anti-codon, which is responsible for specific mRNA codon recognition, and the 3' end, to which the tRNAs corresponding amino acid is attached (by aminoacyl-tRNA synthetases). tRNAs cope with the degeneracy of the genetic code in two manners: having more than one tRNA (with a specific anti-codon) for a particular amino acid; and 'wobble' base-pairing, i.e. permitting non-standard base-pairing at the 3rd anti-codon position.
Source: RNAcentral